GAGCACGUCAUUAAUGUUGUUGUUGGUGGAGAAGCUGCAAAUAUGGAGGAAAGAGAGUUGAGACAGGAAAAAAUGUACUUUUCAUGAACAGAGGGGGGAAAUAGCUUCGCAAAAGUGAUAAAGUGGAAGACGGCCGCUGAACUAAGACAGACCGUGACGCCGCGCGGAACAACAACAAGUAUCAGAGAGGGUGUUCGGCUGGCACAGCUGCCAUCAAAGUCCUCCUCAUGAGGUCUACGGUCAUGGCUGAAGCAGAGGACCCCCUUUAGAGUUGAAAACCUGGAACCUGGUGAACUUGAGGUUGCAGGCUGAGGUUUACCCAGAAGUCUUCUUUCUCUGCUUUGCUUACUACUUGGAGAACUUCAGGCAGGGAAGAUCCCCGGCGGCAUCCAUGAAUUCACCAAACACACCUGGUAAGAGUCUUUAAGUGCUCAUGUUAUGCUGUUCAACCUUGUUGCUUGCUAAUGUAAGAUCUUAUGGUAAUACUUUCAGCUAGGCAUGGGCUAUUAUAAGAUUCUGACGGUAUGAUAACGUUGAAUAAAAAUGUCACAGUUUCGCAAUAUUGUUUUUACUGCUCUAAAAUAUAUUCUUUUUGAGUGUCUGGGUAAAAAAACAAAAACGUUUUUCGUCUUUCAACACAAUAUAUUUUAUUUGAGAAACAUUUAAAAUAUUUUAGAGCAGUAAACAUGUCAGGCUGAAUAAUUCAAAUGAAAUUAUUGACUUCUGCUGUAUUGAAUAGGUUGCAAAACACAGAUUUUAUUACAAUUUAAAACCACAUCUUGGAUAUCUUUUCUGCUGAAGAUACUGUAAAAAGAUACUGUAUAUCUUUUCUGCUGAAAAUACUGUACUAAUGUAAAAAAAA
RNAcentral lists this long non-coding RNA (862 nucleotides) under Danio rerio (zebrafish). RNAcentral describes it as "lncRNA si:dkey-35i15.3 (ENSDARG00000098353.2)". Lineage: Eukaryota; Metazoa; Chordata; Actinopteri; Cypriniformes; Danionidae. The record is from RNAcentral.